UCCAGACUCCUACGGGAGGCAGCAGUGGGGAAUAUUGCACAAUGGGGGAAACCCUGAUGCAGCGACGCCGCGUGAGUGAAGAAGUAUUUCGGUAUGUAAAGCUCUGUCAGCAGGGAAGAAAAUGACGGUACCUGACUAAGAAGCCCCGGCUAACUACGUGCCAGCAGCCGCGGUAAUACGUAGGGGGCAAGCGUUAUCCGGAUUUACUGGGUGUAAAGGGAGCGUAGACGGCAUGGCAAGUCAGAUGUGAAAGCCCGGGGCUCAACCCCGGGACUGCAUUUGAAACUGUCAGGCUGGAGUGCAGGAGAGGUAAGUGGAAUUCCUAGUGUAGCGGUGAAAUGCGUAGAUAUUAGGAGGAACACCAGUGGCGAAGGCGGCCUGCUGGACGACAACUGACGGUGAGGCGCGAAAGCGUGGGGAGCAAACAGGAUUAGAUACCCGAGUAGU
RNAcentral lists this ribosomal RNA (447 nucleotides) under uncultured bacterium. RNAcentral describes it as "bacterial SSU rRNA". It matches the Rfam family "Bacterial small subunit ribosomal RNA", at positions 330 to 794 of the family's 1533-position model. The record is from RNAcentral.